CCCCCAAAAUCCCCUUUUAAUCCCCCAAACCGCCUCUUGAAUCCCCAAAAAUCCACUCCAAAUUCCAAAUAAACACCUUUUAUUCACGGAAUUUCAUGUCCAGACCCAAAUUUCCUCCUUUUUUUUAAACCAAUUUUCCAAUUUCUUUUUCCCCAGUUUUUCCCUCAUUUUUUCCCCCCUGAUUUCCUCUCCUUUUCUUUCCCUCUUUUCCCCCCUUUUUUCCCAUUUCCCUUCAUUUUUUCCUCGUUUCCCCCUCCUUUUCCCCCCAGUUUUUUCCUUUUUUCCUCAUAUUUUCCCCCAUUUUCUCCUAAUUUUUCCUCGUUUUUUUCCCUCUUUUUUCCCACUUUUCCCCUCAUUUUCUUUCCCUCUUUGCCCUCAUUUCCCCCUUUUUCCCCAUUCAUUUUUUCCCAUUUUCCCCGUUUUUUCCCCCAUUUUCCCCUCAUUUUUCCCCUUCAUUUCCCCCUUUUUUCCAGUUUUUCCCUCACUUUUUCCCUUUUCCCCCCUUUAUUUUCCCCCUCUUUUUUCCCCGUUUUCCCUCAUUUUCCCCCAUUUUUUCCCUCAUUUUUUCCCCUUUUUUUCCCCCAGUUUUUCCCUAAUUUUUUCUCUUCCCCCCCUUUAUUCCCCCCUCUUUUUUCCCAAUUUUUCCCCCAUUUUCCCCCAGUUUUUCCCUCAUUUUUCCCCUGGUUUUUUCCCCAAUUUUUCCCUCAUUUCCCCCCAAUUUUUUCCCAUUUCCCCUCAUUUCCCCCCAAACUCCACUCACUCACUCCAAAGCACAAAAACCUCCAUUUUUAUUCCGGCAAUUCCCCAAAUUUCCUUUUUUCCCCUUUUUUCCCUCUUUUUCCUUCUUUUUUCCGUUUCCCCUCAUUUUUUCCCUGCUUUCCCCUCAUUUUCUUUCCCUAUUUUUUCCCAUUUUCCCCUUUAUUUGUCCCCUUCUUCCCAGUUUUUCCCUCAAUUUUCCCCUGAUUUUCCCUCAUUUUCUCUCCCUUCUCCCCCUUUUUUUCCUCAUUUUCCCCCUUUUUUCUCAGUUUUACCCUCAUUUUUCCCCCUUUUUUCCCCCAGUUUUUCUUUUUUCCCCCUUCUUUUUUUUUUUCCCAGUUUUCCCCUCAUUUUUUCUCAUUUUCCCCCGUUUUUCCCCCC
Molecule: long non-coding RNA, 1137 nt
Filed under: Serinus canaria (Common canary)
Lineage: Eukaryota; Metazoa; Chordata; Aves; Passeriformes; Fringillidae
Description: lncRNA (ENSSCAG00000008207.1)
Source: RNAcentral